ACUCAAAGGAAUUGACGGGGACUUGCACAAGCAGUGGAUUAUGUGGUUUAAUUCGAUGGUAAACGAAGAACCUUACCAGGGUUAGAAAUCCUAGUGAAAGCCCAAGGAAACUUGGGGCCUCGCAAGACUCUAGGACAGGUGAUGCAUGGCCGUCGUCAGUUCGUGGUUUGAAUUGUACCCUUAAGUGGGCUAACGAACGCAACCCUCGUUGUGUGUUACAAGUGUCACACGAGACCGCCCCCGCUUUUGAUCAUAAAAUUUUUGUGAGCAAAAGCGGGGGAGGAAGGAGAGGAUGACGCCAGGUCAGCAUGUCCCUCUGAUACCCUGGGCUACACACAUAAUACAAUGACCAUUACAACGCGAUGCGACGCCGCGAGGCUGAGCAAAUCGUAUAAAAAUGGCCUCAGUUCGGAUUGGAGUCUGCAACUCGACUCCAUGAAGCUGGAAUUGCUAGUAAUCACAGGUCAGCUAAACUGUGGUGAAUACGUUCUCAAGUCUUGUACACACCGCCCGU
This 514-nucleotide ribosomal RNA is filed under the name uncultured bacterium. Its description in RNAcentral is "partial 16S ribosomal RNA". It matches the Rfam family "Bacterial small subunit ribosomal RNA", at positions 899 to 1397 of the family's 1533-position model. The record is from RNAcentral.